Molecule: long non-coding RNA, 362 nt
Filed under: Astyanax mexicanus (Mexican tetra)
Lineage: Eukaryota; Metazoa; Chordata; Actinopteri; Characiformes; Acestrorhamphidae
Description: lncRNA (ENSAMXG00005017443.1)
Source: RNAcentral
UGUUGUGUCAUUUAUCAGAUCAGGUUUCUUUUUGUUUGUUUAGAAAUGUGUAUUGUUCAUUCAGUGCAUAUUACUGACGUGAUUUAAGCCCAAAAAUGACAUAAGAUCUCCGGAGCUCUACAGCUGGAGUGUUUUGAAGCUUUAUCCCACAGUCCUGGAGGAACAGGACCAUCUGAACUGUAGAAGAAUGAAUUCCGUCUCAUACUAAGUGUUCUCCUGCUUCUAGAAUUGACACCCUCACCUGACUUAAGUUUGUCUCCACAAACAACUAAUCAGGACAUUUCACAAAUAUCAGUCUUAAGCUGCUGAAAGAGGUUAAGCACAAAACAUCCAAAGUAAUUCCCAGUACCUGCACAAGUUAU